This 43-nucleotide non-coding RNA is filed under the name Trypanosoma brucei brucei. The record is from RNAcentral. Lineage: Eukaryota; Euglenozoa; Kinetoplastea; Trypanosomatida; Trypanosomatidae.
GAGAACAUAAAUCAAUGUAGAAGUGUAGUAAUGAGUGAUAUUG